GACGAACGCUGGCGGCGUGCCUAAUACAUGCAAGUCGAGCGGGCCUCCGGAGGUGCUUGCACCUCCGGAAGGCCAGCGGCGGACGGGUGAGUAACACGUGGGCAACCUGCCUUUGAGGCCGGGAUAACACCGGGAAACCGGUGCUAAUACCGGACACGUCCUCUUCCGCGCCUGCGCGAGGGGAGAAAGACGGUCUUUAAUGCCGUCGCUCAACGUGGGGCCCGCGGCGCAUUAGCUGGUUGGUGGGGUAAGGGCCUACCAAGGCGACGAUGCGUUGCCGACCUGAGAGGGUGAUCGGCCACACUGGGACUGAGACACGGCCCAGACUCCUGCGGGAGGCAGCAGUAGGGAAUCAUCCGCAAUGGGCGAAAGCCUGACGGUGCAACGCCGCGUGAGUGAGGAAGGUUUUCGGAUCGUAAAGCUCUGUUGUGAGGGAAGAACAGCUUCCGGAGGAAAUGCCGGAGGUUUGCCGGUACCUCACCAGAAAGCCCCGGCUAACUACGUGCCAGCCGCCGCGGUAA
RNAcentral lists this ribosomal RNA (521 nucleotides) under uncultured bacterium. Its description in RNAcentral is "partial 16S ribosomal RNA". It matches the Rfam family "Bacterial small subunit ribosomal RNA", at positions 28 to 523 of the family's 1533-position model. The record is from RNAcentral.